AGCGUAGGUUGCAGAGUAAGUCAGAUGUGAAAGCCCGUUGCUUAACAGCGGGAUUGCAUCAGAAACUGCUUUGCUAGAGUGCAGGAGAGGUAAGUGGAAUUCCUAGUGUAGCGGUGAAAUGCGUAGAUAUUAGGAGGAACAUCAGUGGCGAAGGCGGCUUACUGGACUGUAACUGACACUGAGGCUCGAAAGCGUGGGGAGCAAACA
RNAcentral lists this ribosomal RNA (207 nucleotides) under uncultured Eubacteriales bacterium. RNAcentral describes it as "uncultured Clostridiales bacterium partial 16S ribosomal RNA". It matches the Rfam family "Bacterial small subunit ribosomal RNA", at positions 568 to 774 of the family's 1533-position model. The record is from RNAcentral. Lineage: Bacteria; Bacillati; Bacillota; Clostridia; Eubacteriales.